RNAcentral lists this ribosomal RNA (1662 nucleotides) under uncultured Pelotomaculum sp. Its description in RNAcentral is "bacterial SSU rRNA". It matches the Rfam family "Bacterial small subunit ribosomal RNA". Lineage: Bacteria; Bacillati; Bacillota; Clostridia; Eubacteriales; Desulfotomaculaceae. The record is from RNAcentral.
GUUUGUUCCUGGCUCAGGACGAACGCUGGCGGCGUGCUUAACACAUGCAAGUCGAACGGUCCGGCACUCAACCACUAGUGGUCAGUAGGUAUUAAAUCCCGGGUAAGCGCAUGAGAGAGCGAGAGGGAGGAUAAGACACAACUGAUCAGUAGGGUUGAGUGCCGGGUAGUGGCGGACGGGUGAGUAACGCGUGGAUAACCUGCCUACAUGACCGGGACAACACCGGGAAACUGGUGCUAAUACCGGAUACGCUCUUGAGGGCACAUGCUUUUGAGAGGAAAGGAGCAAUCCGCAUAUAGAUGGGUCCGCGUCCCAUUAGCUAGUUGGGGGUGUAAGAGACCACCAAGGCGACGAUGGGUAGCCGGCCUGAGAGGGUGGACGGCCACACUGGAACUGAGACACGGUCCAGACUCCUACGGGAGGCAGCAGUGGGGAAUCUUCCGCAAUGGGCGCAAGCCUGACGGAGCAACGCCGCGUGAGUGAAGAAGGCCUUCGGGUUGUAAAGCUCUGUCUUCAGGGAAGAAGAAAAUGACGGUACCUGAGGAGGAAGCCCCGGCUAACUACGUGCCAGCAGCCGCGGUAAAACGUAGGGGGCGAGCGUUGUCCGGAAUUACUGGGCGUAAAGGGCGCGUAGGCGGUCAUUUAAGUCAGAGGUGAAAACUACCGGCUUAACCGGUAGCCUGCCUUUGAAACUGGAUGACUUGAGGGCAGGAGAGGGGAGUGGAAUUCCCAGUGUAGCGGUGAAAUGCGUAGAUAUGGGAGGAACACCAGUGGCGAAGGCGGCUCUCUGGCCUGUUUCUGACGCUGAGGCGCGAAAGCGUGGGGAGCGAACGGGAUUAGAUACCCCGGUAGUCCACGCCGUAAACGAUGGGUGCUAGGUGUAGGAGGUAUCGACCCCUUCUGUGCCGUAGUUAACACAAUAAGCACCCCGCCUGGGGAGUACGGCCGCAAGGUUGAAACUCAAAGGAAUUGACGGGGGCCCGCACAAGCGGUGGAGCAUGUGGUUUAAUUCGACGCAACGCGAAGAACCUUACCAGGGCUUGACAUCCCCUGACAGCCAUUGAAAGGUGGUAUUCUACCUUUGGGUAGACAGGGAGACAGGUGGUGCAUGGUUGUCGUCAGCUCGUGUCGUGAGAUGUUGGGUUAAGUCCCGCAACGAGCGCAACCCUUACGUUUAGUUGCUAACGUGUAGAGAUGAGCACUCUAGACGAACUGCCGUUGACAAAACGGAGGAAGGUGGGGAUGACGUCAAAUCAUCAUGCCCCUUAUGUCCUGGGCUACACACGUGCUACAAUGGCCGGUACAAAGGGAAGCGAAGCCGCGAGGCGGAGCAAAUCCGAUAAAAGCCGGUCUCAGUUCGGAUUGCAGGCUGCAAUUCGCCUGCAUGAAGUCGGAAUCGCUAGUAAUCGCAGGUCAGCAUACUGCGGUGAAUACGUUCCCGGGCCUUGUACACACCGCCCGUCACACCACGAAAGCGAGCAACACCCGAAGCCGGUGACUUAACCCGGCACUCAACUGGAUAUAAGGCAGAUGAUCUUGGAAAGCCAGGGAUGAGAAUAAAUAGCCAGGAAAGUUAGAAGAAUCGUAUAUCCAGUUGAGUGCCGGGAGAGAGCUGUCGAAGGUGGGGUUGGUGAUUGGGGUGAAGUCGUAACAAGGUAGCCG